This 492-nucleotide ribosomal RNA is filed under the name uncultured bacterium. Its description in RNAcentral is "bacterial SSU rRNA". It matches the Rfam family "Bacterial small subunit ribosomal RNA", at positions 26 to 518 of the family's 1533-position model. The record is from RNAcentral.
AGGAUGAACGCUGGCGGCGUGCUUAACACAUGCAAGUCGAGCGAAGCAUUUUGCUGAUUCUUCGGAUUGAAGCAGAUCUGACUUAGCGGCGGACGGGUGAGUAACGCGUGGGUAACCUGCCUCAUACAGGGGGAUAACAGUCAGAAAUGACUGCUAAAACCGCAUAAGCGCACAGUACCGCAUGGUAGAGUGUGAAAAAACUCCGGUGGUAUGAGAUGGACCCGCGUCGGAUUAGCCAGUUGGCGGGGUAACGGCCCACCAAAGCGACGAUCCGUAGCCGGCCUGAGAGGGCGACCGGCCACAUUGGGACUGAGACACGGCCCAAACUCCUACGGGAGGCAGCAGUGGGGAAUAUUGCACAAUGGGGGAAACCCUGAAUGCAGCGACGCCGCGUGAGUGACGAAGUAUUUCGGUACGUAAAGCUCUAUCAGCAGGGAAGAAGACGACGGUACCUGACUAAGAAGCCCCGGCUAACUACGUGCCAGCCGCGGC